GGUUAAGCGACUAAGCGUACACGGUGGAUGCCCUGGCAGUCAGAGGCGAUGAAGGACGUGCUAAUCUGCGAUAAGCGUCGGUAAGGUGAUAUGAACCGUUAUAACCGGCGAUUUCCGAAUGGGGAAACCCAGUGUGAUUCGUCACACUAUCAUUAACUGAAUCCAUAGGUUAAUGAGGCGAACCGGGGGAACUGAAACAUCUAAGUACCCCGAGGAAAAGAAAUCAACCGAGAUUCCCCCAGUAGCGGCGAGCGAACGGGGAGGAGCCCAGAGCCUGAAUCAGUGUGUGUGUUAGUGGAAGCGUCUGGAAAGGCGCGCGAUACAGGGUGACAGCCCCGUACACAAAAAUGCACAUGCUGUGAGCUCGAUGAGUAGGGCGGGACACGUGGUAUCCUGUCUGAAUAUGGGGACCAUCCUCCAAGGCUAAAUACUCCUGACUGACCGAUAGUGAACCAGUACCGUGAGGGAAAGGCGAAAAGAACCCCGGCGAGGGAGUGAAAAAGAACCUGAAACCGUGUACGUACAAGCAGUGGGAGCACAGAGCAAUCUGUGUGACUGCGUACCUUUGUAUAAUGGGUCAGCGACUUAUAUUCUGUAGCAAGGUUAACCGAAUAGGGAGCCGAAGGGAAACCGAGUCUUAACUGGGCGUUAAGUUGCAGGGUAUAGACCCGAAACCCGGUGAUCUAGCCAUGGGCAGGUUGAAGGUUGGGUAACACUAACUGGAGGACCGAACCGACUAAUGUUGAAAAAUUAGCGGAUGACUUGUGGCUGGGGGUGAAAGGCCAAUCAAACCGGGAGAUAGCUGGUUCUCCCGAAAGCUAUUUAGGUAGCGCCUCGUGAAUUCAUCUCCGGGGUAGAGCACUGUUUCGGCAAGGGGUCAUCCCGACUUACCAACCCGAUGCAAACUGCGAAUACCGGAGAAUGUUAUCACGGGAGACACACGGCGGGUGCUAACGUCCGUCGUGAAGAGGGAAACAACCCAGACCGCCAGCUAAGGUCCCAAAGUCAUGGUUAAGUGGGAAACGAUGUGGGAAGGCCCAGACAGCCAGGAUGUUGGCUUAGAAGCAGCCAUCAUUUAAAGAAAGCGUAAUAGCUCACUGGUCGAGUCGGCCUGCGCGGAAGAUGUAACGGGGCUAAACCAUGCACCGAAGCUGCGGCAGCGACGCUUAUGCGUUGUUGGGUAGGGGAGCGUUCUGUAAGCCUGUGAAGGUGUACUGUGAGGUAUGCUGGAGGUAUCAGAAGUGCGAAUGCUGACAUAAGUAACGAUAAAGCGGGUGAAAAGCCCGCUCGCCGGAAGACCAAGGGUUCCUGUCCAACGUUAAUCGGGGCAGGGUGAGUCGACCCCUAAGGCGAGGCCGAAAGGCGUAGUCGAUGGGAAACAGGUUAAUAUUCCUGUACUUGGUGUUACUGCGAAGGGGGGACGGAGAAGGCUAUGUUGGCCGGGCGACGGUUGUCCCGGUUUAAGCGUGUAGGCUGGUUUUCCAGGCAAAUCCGGAAAAUCAAGGCUGAGGCGUGAUGACGAGGCACUACGGUGCUGAAGCAACAAAUGCCCUGCUUCCAGGAAAAGCCUCUAAGCAUCAGGUAACAUCAAAUCGUACCCCAAACCGACACAGGUGGUCAGGUAGAGAAUACCAAGGCGCUUGAGAGAACUCGGGUGAAGGAACUAGGCAAAAUGGUGCCGUAACUUCGGGAGAAGGCACGCUGAUAUGUAGGUGAAGCGACUUGCUCGUGGAGCUGAAAUCAGUCGAAGAUACCAGCUGGCUGCAACUGUUUAUUAAAAACACAGCACUGUGCAAACACGAAAGUGGACGUAUACGGUGUGACGCCUGCCCGGUGCCGGAAGGUUAAUUGAUGGGGUCAGCGCAAGCGAAGCUCUUGAUCGAAGCCCCGGUAAACGGCGGCCGUAACUAUAACGGUCCUAAGGUAGCGAAAUUCCUUGUCGGGUAAGUUCCGACCUGCACGAAUGGCGUAAUGAUGGCCAGGCUGUCUCCACCCGAGACUCAGUGAAAUUGAACUCGCUGUGAAGAUGCAGUGUACCCGCGGCAAGACGGAAAGACCCCGUGAACCUUUACUAUAGCUUGACACUGAACAUUGAGCCUUGAUGUGUAGGAUAGGUGGGAGGCUUUGAAGUGUGGACGCCAGUCUGCAUGGAGCCGACCUUGAAAUACCACCCUUUAAUGUUUGAUGUUCUAACGUUGACCCGUGAUCCGGGUUGCGGACAGUGUCUGGUGGGUAGUUUGACUGGGGCGGUCUCCUCCUAAAGAGUAACGGAGGAGCACGAAGGUUGGCUAAUCCUGGUCGGACAUCAGGAGGUUAGUGCAAUGGCAUAAGCCAGCUUGACUGCGAGCGUGACGGCGCGAGCAGGUGCGAAAGCAGGUCAUAGUGAUCCGGUGGUUCUGAAUGGAAGGGCCAUCGCUCAACGGAUAAAAGGUACUCCGGGGAUAACAGGCUGAUACCGCCCAAGAGUUCAUAUCGACGGCGGUGUUUGGCACCUCGAUGUCGGCUCAUCACAUCCUGGGGCUGAAGUAGGUCCCAAGGGUAUGGCUGUUCGCCAUUUAAAGUGGUACGCGAGCUGGGUUUAGAACGUCGUGAGACAGUUCGGUCCCUAUCUGCCGUGGGCGCUGGAGAACUGAGGGGGGCUGCUCCUAGUACGAGAGGACCGGAGUGGACGCAUCACUGGUGUUCGGGUUGUCAUGCCAAUGGCACUGCCCGGUAGCUAAAUGCGGAAGAGAUAAGUGCUGAAAGCAUCUAAGCACGAAACUUGCCCCGAGAUGAGUUCUCCCUGACUCCUUGAGAGUCCUGAAGGAACGUUGAAGACGACGACGUUGAUAGGCCGGGUGUGUAAGCGCAGCGAUGCGUUGAGCUAACCGGUACUAAUGAACCGUGAGGCUUAACCUU
Molecule: ribosomal RNA, 2898 nt
Filed under: Escherichia coli
Lineage: Bacteria; Pseudomonadati; Pseudomonadota; Gammaproteobacteria; Enterobacterales; Enterobacteriaceae
Description: 23S ribosomal RNA
Rfam family: Bacterial large subunit ribosomal RNA
Source: RNAcentral